ACUAACGACUGCGCCACGUUGAAUACACAAGUUCUCGUCCGAUCACUGAAGUUAAGCGACGUCGAGGGUGGUCAGCACUCGGAUAGGUGACCAUCUGGGAGAUCACGUGCUGUUGGUU
This 118-nucleotide ribosomal RNA is filed under the name Olea europaea subsp. europaea. The record is from RNAcentral. Lineage: Eukaryota; Viridiplantae; Streptophyta; Magnoliopsida; Lamiales; Oleaceae.